AGAGCGAACGCUGGCGGCAGGCCUAACACAUGCAAGUCGAACGCCCAGCAAUGGGAGUGGCAGACGGGAUAGUAACACGUGGGAACGCGCCCUUCGGUUCGGAAUAACUCAGGGAAACUUGAGCUAAUACCGGAUACGCCCUUACGGGGAAAGAUUUAUUGCCGAAGGAACGGCCCGCGUCGGAUUAGCUAGUUGGUGAGGUAAUGGCUCACCAAGGCGACGAUCCGUAGCUGGUCUGAGAGGAUGACCAGCAUCACUGGGACUGAGACACGGCCCAGACUCCUACGGGAGGCAGCAGUGGGGAAUAUUGGACAAUGGGCGCAAGCCUGAUCCAGCCAUGCGCGUGGAUGAUGAAGGCCCUAGGGUUGUAAAGUCCUUUUAACGGGAAGAUAAUGACGGUACCCGUAGAAUAAGCCCCGGCUAACUUCGUGCCAGCAGCCGC
Molecule: ribosomal RNA, 442 nt
Filed under: uncultured soil bacterium
Lineage: Bacteria
Description: bacterial SSU rRNA
Rfam family: Bacterial small subunit ribosomal RNA
Source: RNAcentral